RNAcentral lists this long non-coding RNA (217 nucleotides) under Daucus carota (carrot). RNAcentral describes it as "long non-coding RNA (DCAR_LNC002811)". The record is from RNAcentral. Lineage: Eukaryota; Viridiplantae; Streptophyta; Magnoliopsida; Apiales; Apiaceae.
AGUCAUUCAACAGUUUGACAAAUCUGUCAUACAGAUCUGUCAAGGACUCACCAGAUUUUGAGUCAAAGUGCUCAUACUCCUGUGUAAGGAUGGUUUUUCUGUUCUUCUUGAUGGCCUUAGUUCCUUGACAUCUGGUUUCCAGAGCAUCCCAGAUUUGUUUUGCAGUUUUGCACCCAAUCACUCUAUUAGACAUUGCAUUAUCAAGGGCACUGUGCAG